GGGGUCACCACUACACCACAGAUGGGGUGGACAGCCUGCUACAGGGUGUCCUGGAAGCUCUGAAACGAUGUUUGUCCUUCACCAGUUUCUAUUCUAAAGGACAAAAGCAAAAGUGGAGCCCGCAUUCAUGAAGUGGCAGGAUUACUUACCCUAAAUGUGGUGCCAGUGGGGUAACUGGAAUAAAAAGCAAGGAAUCUUUAUCUCAUCAAGGAGAUAUCAUUAAUACCCUGAACCCUCAUCCAUCGGUCGGGGAGUCAUUCCUUAUAACAAAAAAUAAAAAAGAAAGUUGGGAAAAAAGCAUCUCAGCAAAAGCAGCGAACAUAUCUACCAUGUCUGACAGUAAUUACAGUGUUCUGCAUACUCUGUCAGUAGGGAGAGGAAGGCAUCUUCCAUCUUUCCACAUACUAUCCUGUGUGAAGACCAUCACUGCCUUUGUCAUACUCAAUCUAGGAGAAGGAAAAGACCCAGACAUGGAUAACUGUAGUACACAUACACGUAUCAUACUAUGCUCCAGCAGUAAUCUACUCUACAUAGCAUUCCUCACAAGUAAUCAUCCAGUCUCAUGGUAGAAGUUCUCAAGUAAUGGGCAAUCCUCUACCUGUCAUGGCAACCUAGGAAACAAAAACCAUAUUAACCAACUAGUAUUUAGUACAAUCGAACAUAAUGGAUUUCUCCAUUAGAGGCAAUGCAAUGUCCCGGAACAAUCUGCAGGGAUCUAGGAGAAAAAACACUAUCCACAAGCAGAGGACAAACUGUGGGAGUAAAAACACCGAGGAAAAGCAACUGUUUGACUACAGGGGUUGAGGGGAUAUGACUGAGGAGAGACUCUAAAUGAACACUCUAAUGCAAAUACCAACAACAUGGAAAUGGGUUCGAAUCAAGAACACAUGUGAUACCCAGUGGAAUCGCGCUCGUCGGCUAUGGGAUAGGUGGGGGGGAGGAAAAGAAAAUGAUCUUUGUCUCUAAUGAAUAAUGUUUGGAAAUGAUCAAAUAAAAUAUUGUUUAAAAAAAAGAAUUGGAGUCCU
Molecule: long non-coding RNA, 1025 nt
Filed under: Monodelphis domestica (gray short-tailed opossum)
Lineage: Eukaryota; Metazoa; Chordata; Mammalia; Didelphimorphia; Didelphidae
Description: lncRNA (ENSMODG00000039634.1)
Source: RNAcentral